CAAAAGUUUUAUUCUAGCUUAGAAUUUGGGUUUAGUUUUAUAUCACAUGCAAGCCUAAGCAUAAGGGUUAAUUUAAAUAGUUAAUUAGAAGUUAUUUCGCAGUGGGAAAAUUUAAAUAUCAAUGGUAGUUGGAUUUAGGAAUAAUUAAAUCAAUAUUAACAAAAUUUGUGCCAGCAGUUGCGGUUACACAAAUAAUAUUACUCAAAUUUUUCGGUUGUAGUUAGUUGAAUAAAUUACUUUAAAAUACAAUUUAUGGGGUGAAAUUUUAAGUUGUUUAAAGGUAAAUUAAAUUAGGCGAGGCUAAGAAAUUCAAUAUAAAACUAGGAUUAGAUACCCUAUUAUUAAGAACGUUAAUUUAUAUACCAGGUUAGUAUUAGUUGUGUUCUUGAAAAUUAAAGAUUUUGGCGGUACUUUAGUCUAUUUAGAGGAACCUGUCCUAUAAUUGACGAUCCACGAUUUUACCUACUUUUUUUAAUAGUUUAUAUAUCGUCGUAGUUUGAAUAUGUUUUUAGAUUCUGUAAUGUUCAAGAUUCUUUAUCUAAGAAGAAUAUCAGAUCAAGGUGUAGCUGAUAAAAAAGCAGAGAUGGGUUACAAUAAAUUUAUUUUGUAGGAUUUACAUAUUUAUAGAUGUGAUGAAUAUGGAUUUAAGGGUAAUUUUACUUAGAUUACUAAAAUGAUUUAGGCUCUAAAGUAUGCACAUAUCGCCCGUCGCUUUCACUUUAAGGUGAAAUAAGUCGUAACAUAGUAGGCCUACCGGAAGGUGGGCCUGGGUAGAC
This 776-nucleotide non-coding RNA is filed under the name Brephilydia jejuna. Lineage: Eukaryota; Metazoa; Arthropoda; Insecta; Coleoptera; Cerambycidae. The record is from RNAcentral.